GCACAGCUACAGCUACCAUUUCCCUGGCUUCCCAGCGACAGCGUAUGGACCGGUGGCGGCGGCGGCGGUAGCAGCAGCGCGUGGCUCAGGUAGGGGGGCCCGUGGAAGAGGCGGCUACUUGGCGUACCCACAGAGCACAGGGCCAGGCCUCCCCGAUUAUGGGUUUUACUCUACGCCCAGUGACCAGAGGGGGGGGCCCUGCUCCUUUGCUGACUAUGGCUCCCUGGGGCCCCAAGCGGCUCAGAUGCUGCACAGUGAGCAUGCCACCUCCGCCUGCAACUCCCCCCUCCAGCACCUACACAGCCCGGAUCAGUUUAAGAACCCAGGCGCCAACCCGUCCCGGCCCGGAGGUUUCCCCGGUCCCAACAGCCCAGGGCCCGUGGCCGACCUGUACGGGAACAGCCAGGACUCCUCUGUGGGGAACUACAUCAGCGCCGCCAGCCCCCAGCCCGGCUCCGGGUUCGGCCCCAGCAUCACAGGCCCGUUGAUUGCGACAGCUUUUACAAAUGGAUACCAUUGAACAGGUGGCCGGUUGCCAUCUCAUCAGAGCAGAGUAUAUCUGGUGGCCCGGGAAAGACAGGACGGAGUUUCUAAUUGGCUUUGUGUGCAGGUGAUGCUAACCAACUUCGAGCACUACAGCGUCACCCUGGCAAAAAGAAUGAAGGUGUGAACCUUAUGAAGAAGAAAAGAAAAACGUUAGUCAUCUCAGAAAAAUAACAACUGCUGUACUAUAAUCCAAACCUCCUAUAACUUUACAACCUGGUUUGGUAUGAUGUGUCACGUGGAUUUCAUUCACCAAUUCCCUCCCUCUGUUAGCGCUUUGUUUUCCUUAGUUUUUAGAGAGUCAUUUUUAACCUUAAUUUUGUGUCAUUUUAUUUAAUCUUAUAGUAUAUUUGUGUAAAAGGGGUUUUGUUUGAAGUAAAGGGGUCAUAGCCAAGUGUGAAGGGGAAAGGUUGUUGAAAUCAGUCUUUCCGAAUAAAAAAGAAGCUCAGUGUGAAGAGAGAAAAAAAAUUCAAUUUUAAGGAACAUUUUAAGAGGGUAUCUAAGUAAUAAAUCUCAGUAGCUGUUUUAUUUCUUGUGAUGUCUCAUUGUUAACCAUAAUUACCUAUUUUUGGGCAAUACAAAGAGGACUCCAAUAUUUUUAUGGUCCUUUUUUAUAAGUGUUGUUUUUGUUGUUUAGAAAUAUAUAUAUAUAUAUAUAUGCUAUAACAAAUUUCAUAUAACUACAUUGUGAAUUCAAACUUGAGAAAAAGAAAUGUAGCUGUACAUAUUAUUCCAGUCACUGCAUAUAACCAACUCAGUGAGAGAAUAGCAUAUUUUUGUGAUGGUGUGUCAAAAGAAACAUGUUAUAGCGUGUGAAUAGAAGAAAAAAGCUGUAAACAGUUAUUAUUAUUAUACUUUUUUUCUUCUGCUGGAAGACGGUAUAAAAGACCCCGGAGAUGAACAGAACACGCUUGCUCUGUAAAUACUGAAUCAUUUUACAAGUGUCAUACCAGCAAAUUCACAAACGGCGAGCUGUAAGUCAACACAGUUGUAAGAAAUAAAAAAAAGAGCCUGAUUGGUAUCUCACUGCUCAGAUAUCAGUAUCAUUUCAAAGAGAGAGACAGAAAAGAAUCCAAAGCACACUGUACUUAGAUGUGAAGAUUAGAACUUGAACAGGCAUUGGACAGUGCUCUGUGCAUCCUGACACUUUUAUACUCUUGAGAGGAACUUGUUCGUUGUUUCUAUUGUUUGUUUCAUCCUGCUUGUUCCUGAUUUUUUUAUUUUUUUUAGGAACACAAUACCUUGAGCUCUGUGCUGAGAGCCUCUAUGUGCCGCUUGUUCUCUGAACCGGUUCUUUUAUGAGCGAAUUAGGAAAGUAAACAUUUUGAUACCAUACCUCAGCCUUUGUGAGUUCAAUCGUGGAAUCAUUGGCAGGUUUAAGUUAUUCUAGUGGCAAAAUAAAACACUGAAAGGUAAUAAAGCGAGAAAUCGAUGCACUGUGAGUAGUAAGAGUACAGGCCAGUUUCCUAUUUGCACAUGUAUAUGUCGGCUUUUUAAAAGAGAACGGCCUUGUGCUUUGGGAUAGUAUGAAGGAUUUCUUGGGUUAAUGUGCUAGACUAACACUUCAGAGUUUUGAGGUGAGGAAACAGCUUGGGAAGUAGAUUUGUUGCAGUGGAUCUCUUUGUAUAUUAGACCCAUCUAAAGAUAUUUAUACAGGGUUAAAAAAUGACACUGAAUUAUUCGCACUGCACCAGGUUUUACACAGUAUGUGUGCUUAAUGAUUUUACUUAUGACAAACAUUUAAUAAUUAUAUAAAUAUCUGGUUUUCCAAAUCAUUAAUGAAACGAAUGGUGUGAAAUACUUGACCUGCUGCAGGUGUAUUUUUGUCCUUUUUCAUUUUACCCACUUCUUUGUCUUUUAUUUGAAAACAACCAGGUAAAGAAAUAUGCUGGAUACUUCUAAAGUUAAUGAUACGGAGGUGUGAUCAAGUCAUAAUUUAACGGAGAAAAAAAAAAACCUUGUAAUGUUCAAAUGUAAAAGAAAAUACGAAACUAUAAAAAAAAGAAAGAUGCUUCUUUGCUGAUUUCAAGUUUAAUCAGAGUUUUAUUGAUACUUUGUGGUUUAUAUAUGAAUAAUUGUAAUAUACUAUUAAAAUGUACUGUGCAUCCAUUGCUUUCUCUCUUUCCAUUCCCCAUCCUUCAGAGAUCCUACUUCUUUUGUUGAUCAUUCAUGUAAUUCAUUAGUGUGUAAAGAAACCACAGUUACCUUGUAAACAGAGUGCUGUCUUUGAUACCAGUGUAGUGGUCUUUGUUGUUCUCCCUUUGCUCUACCUCUCCUUUCUCUCAUAUUUAUCCCUCUCCCUAUCGCGCUCUUUUUCUAUCUCCUGUAAUUACAAAGUAGAUGUUGUAUAGGACUCAUUAAUAUAAUACUCGUAGUGAAUAGUGGAUUUAGGACCAGUCAAGAUAGACCUUUCUCUAAAUGAUCAUGUUAUUCUGAUAUUUGCAGACUAUUCUUUUUGAUAGAGGUUCAUUGUAAUUUGAUUCCCUGUAUCUUUUUUGUUGUUGCUUUUUGCCACUCUCACAUGGUUUCAGCUAACCAAAGCUCUCAUGGAUGAACAAUAGAGAAACAGUUGCUGUAAGAUGGAGUUGUACACGAGGCAUUAUUUGGAUCCCCACCCUUGAAUGUUUUAAAAGGGGUGUGCCAUACUACCUUAAAUGCUAACGCUAGAUAUGCAAAACUGUUGUUUUUUUCUUUGUUUUUAAGAGGGACACAAGCUAUUAUCAAGAUUUUAUGUAAAAGAAAAAGCAUAUAUUUAAAAAAAAAAAAAGACAUACUAAUGACUCAUCGUGCUGUUUAAAUGACCUGUUAUAUAUUUUACUGUUCACACUGAUCCCAGAUGGCCCUGUCUCUUAAUUCUCUCAAAGACUUUAAUAAUAACUCAAUAAUUUUAACCGUAGAUUCUUGGAGCUAGAUUUAGUUUGAAUGCGUUAUCAAUGAUCCAACAUAUUGAUAUUAUAGAGGCAUUGCUAUAAAAAUGUCAUACUGUGAAAGACUCCAUUAAACAGAUAUUAUUCUGCAGCUGUAACAGGAUUAGUGUGUAUCACUCUUAAGGCGGAUUAAUAGAUGGUUCAUAUUUCAGAAGAUAAUAAAUUAAAAUGUUAAUCUCUAUGCUGAAAAUUCCCUCCAAAUACUCAAAGGAUGUCCAGAAUUCACAGAUUUCCACAAGCCGAAUUUCUACAAAAAAACGAGCUAUUAUAAAGCCUCACGCUGUGUGCGUUAUUAUUUCUAUUAGUAUAAUUUCAAUUAAACAUCAUUUAGGUUUAAUGACCAUUUUAUUUUUUAUUUCACCUCAUGGGGUCUUAAAAUUGAGUACUGUUACAAUAAUUAAUAACAUUAGUGUUUAUUCAUUUCUCUCACCCAGUAGACUGUCAAAUUACAUUUGUAUGUUCAGUAAUGGCAGCUCUGUUAGUGCCAUUAUUAUUCCAAUGAAUUCAGCACGUAUACAGGACAUUGUGUAGAAAUAGAGAGAUUAUGCCCAAAACAAAUGUUAAAAAGUCUAAUUAUAUUUAAAAUAUAUCAAUUUCAGAUAUUGUAUUGUAAAAGUAAUUGAUCACAUCUGACAAUACAGUAAAAAAAUAAAGCGUAAAAAAUAAUGUAAUAACAUUCGGAGUAUUCAAUCUAGUUUUCACCUCAUUUGCACAUUUAUAUUUUCAAACAUAUCUCAACUGUAGAAAAACAAUUAACAUGUUAGAAUCUAUCAUUCAUGUGCACUAGUUAAGUUUUAUAGAAAAGACAAAAGAAAGUGUUCCUCUUCGUUUGCAGCAAUGUCCCUGUUUAUAAGUAUUUGAUCAAAUAAUAAACUCUAACUCAUACCACCUACAAGGAGCUCAUUAGGAGCUGCUGUUGGUUCCAAUUGUGCUGCCAUUUCAUCUGGAAAUACACAGAUACUUUAGUUGUUCUCACUGUUCCAGCCCCUAAGACAGUAAAACCCUUUCUGACUUGAAAUGGCAGGUUUUCCCCUCACACAAGCUCCUAUUGUUUUGUGAUCCUGUAGCGUGGACUUUAAGGUAGCAUGGCUCUGUUGCUCUAAUUUCAUUUGAAUCUCAAACUGACAGCAGUUUACAGCUGAUGAAUGUUACACAUCUUAGUAGGCUAGCUUAUACAUUUGGGGAGAGGGGAGGGGUCUUGGUUUAAGAAAAAAAAAGAAAUCAAAAAAAGAAAAAAAGUCAACCUGGAAGGAGUUGACAUUUGUAGUGUACUACCGUAUCCAUUUAAACUUGAAUCUUGAGGCAAGUGCUAGGCAAUGGCCAAACUAUUGAUCCCAUCCGCCGGGGGGGGAAAAGCCCACCCUGAAAACCACACAAAACACGUUUGAGAUUUCUGUCGGAUUUGAAUCUGCUUCAUGGAUAAGAAGCUUGGACAUCAGACUGUUUCAGGCUCGGCUCUAUUUCCAAUUAAUUACUUUAAAGCCUCAUUGAACGAUCUUGAGCAUGUAGACCCAAAAAGGCUUAUUCACAGUGGUGCUGAUGGUUCAAACCAAACAGUGUGCCCUUAUCUCUGAUAGAUACUGUCACAUUGACUCUCUCUUGUUCCAAAACAUAAAAACCUUCACAAACUUCAAGGUGACAGAAAUAUCACAAGUUUGACUUUACUGUUGUGUUUCAGGGUGAAUUUCCCUUUCAGUUCAAACCAUUGCCAUCUCACGCUCAUCGCUAAAUAUAUACAAACAAUUGCAAUAUAUAAGUGUAUAGAUGAGUAUAUAUUUGCAAUUCUCAUGCAUUUGACCUUGUCUGAAGAAUAUUAGACUGGAGACCUCAGCUGUAUACAGAAUACUCGUUACACAGCUACACCCGGGCUCAUGUAGGCAUUAUUAGCUUCUGUUCACCGACACGAGAGUUCACCCGUGGCGUGUUGACGAGUUUGGAGCCGACCGCAUGGCCUAGAGGGGAGCCUGGAAGCUCUUCAGACUGCAUGGACGGCAGUGUGAGGCUCUGCUGUGCUUCCAUGUUUGUGCAGGCUGAGCACAGAGCUCUCUUCACUGCUGUCUGCCCAUUCCUAACACUUGCCCCUUUUUUUAUGUUAACCAACUUUUUAUGGCGAGAGACAGACAGACUUGACUGACAUCUGAAAGCAUCUUUCAGGUUAUAUGGCUUGCUUAAGCCCUGUUGUAAAAUAUACUUUAAAAAAAAAAUAAUAAUAAUAAUAAUAAUGGAUGGGGGUCUCUCACAUAUCAAAUGUGGAAAGUCUAAUUUUAUAUUUGUAUUUUCAAAUAAUAAUAUUGACAAAAAAUGUCUGUGAAAGGUUUCCAUCCUCUACUGUGGUCCAGAAAUUGAUGUGUCUGUCUGGAAAAUAAAUAAAAAUAAACUGAAUUGUUAUAUGA
Molecule: long non-coding RNA, 5863 nt
Organism: Notothenia coriiceps (black rockcod)
Lineage: Eukaryota; Metazoa; Chordata; Actinopteri; Perciformes; Nototheniidae
Exons: 8
Source: RefSeq, a predicted model, not a curated record